GAGUCCCCGCUGAGAAAGCAAGCAAGGCUUUUGCACCUUCAUGCCUGUUGAGUCUGCACACUGGAUUCGUGCCCUCCUCAGAGUUCUGACUAGGAGAUGUCACAGUUGGUUGGAAUUGUUACAAAGUUUAGCUGGAUGUUUCCUUCUCACUGUGGUCUUUUUCCAGUUCUUCUGGCAGCCCUCCCCAAGGACCCCUGUGAGACAAAUCAGGAAUGGCUUCCCUGGGGCCCAAGGAGCUGACAGGGCUUUUCCUGCUGCUUCUUCUACCCCUGUAUUUCACUCAGCUUUCUAAAUGACCCAGUUCCAGAAAUUCAUCUAUCAAAUUCACAAUAGGUUGUGAAUUAAAAUGGAAAACUCUUGGAAUAAUGUAAAUGGACUGGAUGGACAUGGGGCAACUUUAAAUGCAGAUAAAUGAGACUUUUUUGCUCACCUGGAACUUCAAAAAGUGCUUACCAGAGACUGUCUCCUCACUGCUAUUUCUUAUACACAAAUUUCUUGUUGGCUUCCUGACUCAAUACUUCAAUUUAUAGUUAUCUGGUAAUUCCUCUUAAGAAACUCUCUGCAUGUUGGUAACAACUGUCUAUCCACUUCACUCAGUCCAAACAGCAGAGAGCAGCUGUUGUCAUGAGGAAAGCAAUAAGCUCACAUAAGCCUUCACCUUAUACCUCCUGAACAAAGUACUUCUGGCGUCCAGAAAAUACAAUGAUUUCAGAGAUGUCUUCUUAGAAAUAACAGAUACAGAAAUGGAAGAAGUGCAUUAUAUUGCAUUGCCAACCAAUUGCUGCAUUAUAGAUCUCACUAAAGCUCAAAGCAACCCUAUGAAACCAAUUUUGUCAUCCCUAGGGAGAAUGAAUAAUGAAACUGUGAGAAGUGAAAUAAAUUGGGUAACUUUUCUCUC
This 898-nucleotide long non-coding RNA is filed under the name Homo sapiens (human). Its description in RNAcentral is "uncharacterized GS1-278J22.2 (GS1-278J22.2)". The record is from RNAcentral. Lineage: Eukaryota; Metazoa; Chordata; Mammalia; Primates; Hominidae.